CAUAGACACAAUAAUCCUGUAUGAUCCAUUUAAAAACAUCUCUGAAACAAGAGAGGGAAACUUUAAACAUGCUGAAGUGUUUUUAUGGCAGAAGUAUUUAGCUGGUGUUUCAUAGUGGCACAGAGAGUAGAUUUGAGAUUGAGUUGGGAUCUUGCUUGGUAGUUAUGGAGGAAAGUCAGAAGUGUAAGAGCUUUGAAAUGAUGAGUCAUCCCUGAGCCAAGGUUCAAGAUGAAGCUGUGAGAAUAAGUGACAAACAUUUGAUAAAUAUGAAGAAGACAAAGAAACUCAUUCUGGACUUUAGCCAACCACAAUUUUGGGUGGAGAAUGCACACUGAUUAAAACAUUUCCGUAGACAUUUUCAUCCUGUCCUCUGCUGACCAGCUUGGAAGAUAAAUGUGGAAUUGCUAUUUUCAGAGAGAAGAAACAGACAUAGCAAUAUGAUAAGAAUUAAACUAGAGCUGCAUACAAGAUGCUGCAGAAUAAUGAAGGAUAUAGGUUUUCCUGUCUUGUCAUUGUGUCCAGAGAAGAACAGAUGAAUGAGAGAACAGAAAAUGACAACAAUGACUCCAGAGAAAUAUAUGCUAAACAAAUCAGAAGAGACCCAAAAUUGAAAAAAAAAAAAUUUAAAAAAGAAUAUAAUGAAAAAAAAGAAGAAUAUAAUGAGACAGGUGCAAAAUCAAGUCGUCUGCAAAUAUUAGUCAACCUCCUUCAUCGACUUCUAUGUCUUAUAUUUAUUCUUUCUAAUUUUAUUGGAUAAUGGCAGUAGAAAAAUUAUAUGAAUUUCAUCAAAGGAAUACUCUGAUGAUAUUUUGGUACUUCCCAAAUAAUAACCAUUAUGACUUGCACAGACUUCAUAAAUGGUUCCUUCGGUCUCAGAUGCUUUAGGUAACACUCAAUGGUAUUUGGAUGGAGUUCUGAGUUUUCUCUGACUUCUCAUUGAACUGAAAAUGUACUCAAUCAAUCAAUGUGUGUUGUUGUUCUUCUUCUUCCAAAGACAGUUUUUUUAAAGAACAGUUUUAGGUUCACAUCAAAAUUGACAGAAAGGUACAGAGAUUUUCCAUAUGCUCUACCAACCUCAUACAUGCAUAGUCUCCCUUAUUAUUGACAACCUCACGCAGAGUUAUACAUUUGUUAUCAUUGGUGAACCUACCCUGACAUAUCAUCAUCACUCGAAGUCCAUAGUUUACAUUCUUGUACAUUCUGUGGGUUUGUAUAAAUGUAUAAUGACUUGUGUUUGUCAUUAGAGCAUCAGACAGUAUUUUCACUGCUGUAAAAAUCUUUCUGCUCCACCUAUUCAGCCUUCCCUUGCCUUCUCCAGUACAGGUAACCACUGAUUUUUUUCACUGUCUCCAUAGUAUAACUGCCUUUUCCAGAAUGUUGUAGAGCUGGAACUAUACACUGUGUAGUCUUCUCAGAUUAUCUUUUUUCACUUAGUAAUAUGCUUUUAAGGUUCCUCCGUGUCUUUUCAUGGCUUAAUGGCACAUUUAUUUUUAAUGGUAAAAAUAUUCCAUUGUCUGGAAUGGAAUACUUUUCUUACACAGUUUACUCAUCCAUUUGUCCAAUGAAGGAUAUCUUGGUUGCUUCCAAGUUUUGACAGUCAUAAAUAAAACUGCUAUAAAUAUCCAUGUGCAAGUUUUUUGUGUGGUCAUAAGUUUUUAACACCUUUGGGUAAAUACCACGGAGCACAAUUGCUGGAUCACAUGGUAAAAUUGUUUAGUUUUGCAAAUACUCACUGAGUUUUUAUUGUUAUUCUUCUGGUUUCU
Molecule: long non-coding RNA, 1763 nt
Organism: Canis lupus familiaris (dog)
Lineage: Eukaryota; Metazoa; Chordata; Mammalia; Carnivora; Canidae
Exons: 7
Source: RefSeq, a predicted model, not a curated record